GCAUGGCCCCUUUCUGAACUGACCUAGA
This 28-nucleotide non-coding RNA is filed under the name Cricetulus griseus (Chinese hamster). Lineage: Eukaryota; Metazoa; Chordata; Mammalia; Rodentia; Cricetidae. The record is from RNAcentral.